Manis pentadactyla (Chinese pangolin) is the source of this 1062-nucleotide long non-coding RNA. RefSeq lists it as uncharacterized. Lineage: Eukaryota; Metazoa; Chordata; Mammalia; Pholidota; Manidae. The transcript has 3 exons. The record is from RefSeq and is a predicted model, not a curated record.
CCUUAAAAAGGGGAACCCCAACCCCUGAGGUGCUCCUCUCUCCAAGGCCACCGGCACCCUCAAAGUACACAACCUUUUAACUUCAAACUUCCUGUCUCCAACCUCCCUGGAUGCCCCUCUCUGCUGAGGCGGCCCCACUUUGUCUCUCCCCAAGUAACUCCAAACAAAAUUCUUACUCCGCCUCACCGCCAUGUCCCCACCCCUCAACUCUCGCAGCGGCGGCGGGGACAAGGACCGAGGAAAACACACAACGCCCCCCCAACACCAGGGCUUGUUGUCCUGGGAAGUCUCUUGUAGUUAGUUCCUCCUCCUUCGCUUUCUCUUCUCUGGUGUUGACGGGAAAUACGGGAAGCGCCCUUGGUAACUAACAGAUUUCUCAGAUCGGUCACCCCUGUUCUCUGAAAGCAUCAAGGACCCCAAUAGAGACCAGAGGACACAGGACAACAUCCAGACCACAUCCACACCUGCGAGAACCCAGCGCCUCACGAAGGGGGUGGCGAUAAUUGUACAACAAGUUAUUCCAUAUAACUGUUUGAAGACAAAUACUUCAGAGAGAUCUCUGCGUGUUUGAGUUGUUGUGAUAUGAGUAUGGAUUCAUAAGAAAAAGUGACUGGAAGUGGAUCACUGCAGAAACCUCCCAUCAAGAAUCUCUGACAGGACACAGAUUCGUAAAAAAUAAAAAUAAGGUAUUGAAUAAGAGCCCCAUUCACAUUGCCAGAGGACUGAGACAAGUGAGGUCAAGAACAAACCCCUUUGGCAAUACUUACUCUGCUCCAGGGAAACACCAACAAAUCCCUCCAACACACACCCUGGGUUUCAGGGGAGCCAAGAGUGAAGUCUACCCCCAUCUGUCAUGAAAGAGACUGUGAACAAUGCUGUACAAAGUGACCUUCCAUCCUACCACUCCCCAGGCCUAUGGAAGCAAGUGUGCCGCCUUCCCUACGGCCCUCAGGUGACCUCCAGCGAGGCAGGAGACACGCGGUCACAUUCAGCCCGCGACCUCAGGCUGUGCCACUGCUCCACGGCCGUGCGGUGAGCGUCGAGCACCCGCCGCCAGUGGUU